This 540-nucleotide ribosomal RNA is filed under the name uncultured bacterium. Its description in RNAcentral is "bacterial SSU rRNA". It matches the Rfam family "Bacterial small subunit ribosomal RNA", at positions 355 to 896 of the family's 1533-position model. The record is from RNAcentral.
UGAGGAAUAUUGGUCAAUGGGCGAGAGCCUGAACCAGCCAAGUAGCGUGCAGGAUGACGGCCCUAUGGGUUGUAAACUGCUUUUGUAUGGGGAUAAAGUCAAUCACGUGUGAUUGUUUGCAGGUACCAUACGAAUAAGGACCGGCUAAUUCCGUGCCAGCAGCCGCGGUAAUACGGAAGGUUCGGGCGUUAUCCGGAUUUAUUGGGUUUAAAGGGAGCGUAGGCCGGAGAUUAAGUGUGUUGUGAAAUGUAGACGCUCAACGUCUGACUUGCAGCGCAUACUGGUUUCCUUGAGUACGCACAACGUUGGCGGAAUUCGUCGUGUAGCGGUGAAAUGCUUAGAUAUGACGAAGAACUCCGAUUGCGAAGGCAGCUGACGGGAGCGCCACUGACGCUUAAGCUCGAAGGUGCGGGUAUCGAACAGGAUUAGAUACCCUGGUAGUCCGCACAGUAAACGAUGGAUGCCCGCUGUUGGUACCUAGUAUCAGCGGCUAAGCGAAAGCAUUAAGCAUCCCACCUGGGGAGUACGCCGGCAACGGUG